GGCUGUCAAAAUGCACAAUGGGGAGAAACCUGGGACAAGAAGAAUGUAAAAAGGACUAUUUCUGGCCUGAAUAGAAGUUGCAGGUUUACACUGAGGCUUAGCUCUUCUAGAUUUUUUUAUUGCUGUGGAAAAACUGAAGUGCUAAAACCUUGUGUGUGUGGCUACAGGACAUCAGGAUAAAUCAGCAGAUAACAGGUCACACGGAAAGCGACUGUGCAGAGCUGCCUGACAGGGCAGGUGCAGAGAGCAACGGAGAGGGAGUGUUUCAGCCCAGCAGCUAACCGGCCUCACUGCGUCUCCGCCGAAGCAGUAAGUGAACAUGGAGGAGGGAAGGUGACAAACACAGUGUCACGGCACAACUGGCUGCAGAGGUGGGUGGCAAUGGCAUAAAACUGCAGCUUGUGCUACCUCGGGGAAGGAAUGUUCCUCGUCAUUUCAAGGGGCUCAGUCGUACGGGACACAGCGCACCUCCUCCGGGCUGCUCAGCCUUCAACAUAACAGGAAGCUGCGGGCAGGACUGAGAGUCCUUUUGGGCUUGCUCCUGAGCGAAAUGCAAACGUGUACGGCAUGA
This 571-nucleotide long non-coding RNA is filed under the name Apteryx owenii (little spotted kiwi). RNAcentral describes it as "lncRNA (ENSAOWG00000012474.1)". Lineage: Eukaryota; Metazoa; Chordata; Aves; Apterygiformes; Apterygidae. The record is from RNAcentral.